This 253-nucleotide unclassified non-coding RNA is filed under the name uncultured Enterobacteriaceae bacterium. Its description in RNAcentral is "contains 16S-23S intergenic spacer region". It matches the Rfam family "Bacterial small subunit ribosomal RNA", at positions 524 to 776 of the family's 1533-position model. Lineage: Bacteria; Pseudomonadati; Pseudomonadota; Gammaproteobacteria; Enterobacterales; Enterobacteriaceae. The record is from RNAcentral.
UACGUAGGUGGCAAGCGUUGUCCGGAAUUACUGGGCGUAAAGCGCACGCAGGCGUUCUGUCAAGGCGGAUGUGAAAUCCCCGGGCUCACCCUGGGAACUGCAUCCGAAACUGGCAGGCUAGAGUCUUGUAGAGGGGGGUAGAAUUCCAGGUGUAGCGGUGAGAAGCGUAGAUAUCUGGAGGAAUACCGGUGGCUAAGGCGGCCCCGUGGACAAAGACUGACGCUCAGGUGCGAAAGCGUGGGGAGCAAACAGG